Molecule: ribosomal RNA, 400 nt
Filed under: uncultured bacterium
Lineage: Bacteria
Description: bacterial SSU rRNA
Rfam family: Bacterial small subunit ribosomal RNA
Source: RNAcentral
CUGGACUAGAAUGUGAGGGAAGUUCGUCUAAUAGCGAACGUCUGGGAAACCAGACCCAAAACAAGGUGCUGCAUGGCUGUCGUCAGCUCGUGUCGUGAGAUGUUGGGUUAAGUCCCGCAACGAGCGCAACCCUUAUCAACAGUUGCCAUCAUUAAGUUGGGAACUCUGUUGAGACUGCCGUUGAUAAAACGGAGGAAGGUGGGGAUGAUGUCAAGUCAUCAUGGCCUUUAUGUUCAGGGCUACACACGUGCUACAAUGGCCGGUACAAAACGUCGCAAUCCCGUAAGGGGGAGCUAAUCGCAAAAACCGGUCUCAGUUCGGAUUGAAGUCUGCAACUCGACUUCAUGAAGUUGGAAUCGCUAGUAAUCGCGGAUCAGAACGCCGCGGUGAAUACGUUCCC